This is a small nuclear RNA of Dromiciops gliroides (monito del monte), 108 nucleotides long. The record is from RefSeq and is a predicted model, not a curated record. NCBI's taxonomy places the organism in Eukaryota, Metazoa, Chordata, Mammalia, Microbiotheria, Microbiotheriidae.
AUGUUAUACUUCAACCACAUGUAUUUUAAAACUGUAAUGAUACAGAGAAGAUUAGCAUGGCCCCUGACCAAGUAUGAUACACAAAUUCAUGAAAUGUUCCAUAUUUUU